UGGGGAAUAUUGGACAAUGGGGGCAACCCUGAUCCAGCAAUGCCGCGUGUGUGAAGAAGGUCUUCGGAUUGUAAAGCACUUUCGACGGGGACGAUGAUGACGGUACCCGUAGAAGAAGCCCCGGCUAACUUCGUGCCAGCAGCCGCGGUAAUACGAAGGGGGCUAGCGUUGCUCGGAAUGACUGGGCGUAAAGGGCGUGUAGGCGGUUUACACAGUCAGAUGUGAAAUCCCCGGGCUUAACCUGGGAGCUGCAUUUGAUACGUGUAGACUAGAGUGUGAGAGAGGGUUGUGGAAUUCCCAGUGUAGAGGUGAAAUUCGUAGAUAUUGGGAAGAACACCGGUGGCGAAGGCGGCAACCUGGCUCAUGACUGACGCUGAGGCGCGAAAGCGUGGGGAGCAAACAGGAUUAGAUACCCUGGUAGUCCACGCUGUAAACGAUGUGUGCUAGGUGUUGGGUAACUUUGUUAU
Molecule: ribosomal RNA, 467 nt
Filed under: uncultured bacterium
Lineage: Bacteria
Description: partial 16S ribosomal RNA
Rfam family: Bacterial small subunit ribosomal RNA
Source: RNAcentral